AGGGCUGCAGUAUAUUGACUGUACAAAGGUAGCAUAAUCAUUAGUCAUUUAAUUGAUGACUUGUAUGAAGGAUUUGAUGAAAUAUAAACUGUCUCUUAUUUGAUUAUAAAAUUUAAUUUUUUUAUUAAAAAGUUAAAAUAUAUUAAAAAGACGAGAAGACCCUAUAGAGUUUAAUAAGUUAUUAAAUUGAGAUUAUGUGUAAAUUAAAUUUGAAAUUGAGUUAUUUAUUUUGUUGGGGUGACAAAAAAAUAUAUUAAACUUUUUUUUAUUUAAAAACAUUUAUAAGUGGUUAAAUGAUCCAAUAAUGUUGAUUAUAAGAAAAAAUUACCUUAGGGAUAACAGCGUAAUUUUUUUUUUUAGUUCAAAUAAGAAAAAGAGUUUGCGACCUCGAUGUUGGAUUAAGAUAAAAUUUAAA
This 415-nucleotide ribosomal RNA is filed under the name Acrapex syscia. RNAcentral's name for it is "partial 16S ribosomal RNA". Lineage: Eukaryota; Metazoa; Arthropoda; Insecta; Lepidoptera; Noctuidae. The record is from RNAcentral.